Non-coding RNA from Cladochytrium tenue, 73 nucleotides. Lineage: Eukaryota; Fungi; Chytridiomycota; Chytridiomycetes; Cladochytriales; Cladochytriaceae. The record is from the annotation of a GenBank genome assembly.
GCCUUCUUAGCUCAGCUGGCAGAGCGUAUCCCUCGUAAGGAUAAGGUCGUCGGUUCGAUUCCGGCAGAAGGCA